GCGGAAGUGGUGGAAUCGGCAGACACGCUAGCUUGAGGGGCUAGUCCCUUAACCGGGGUGGGGGUUCAAAUCCCCCCUUCCGCA
This 84-nucleotide transfer RNA is filed under the name Candidatus Kuenenia stuttgartensis. RNAcentral describes it as "Candidatus Kuenenia stuttgartiensis tRNA". It matches the Rfam family "tRNA". Rfam says of the family: Transfer RNA (tRNA) molecules are approximately 80 nucleotides in length. Their secondary structure includes four short double-helical elements and three loops (D, anti-codon, and T loops). The record is from Rfam by way of RNAcentral. Lineage: Bacteria; Pseudomonadati; Planctomycetota; Candidatus Brocadiia; Candidatus Brocadiales; Candidatus Brocadiaceae.